AAUCCCAGCACUUUGGGAGACCAAGGUGGGUGAAUCAUGAGGUCAGCAGAUCAAGACCAUCCUGGCUAACACGGUGAAACCCCAUCUCUACGAAAAGUACAAAAACUUAACUGGGCAUGGUGGCACAUGCCUAUAGUCCCAGCUACUUGGGAGGCUGAGGCAGGAGAAUCGCUUGAACCUGGGAGGCGGAGGUUGCAGUAAGCCAAGAUGGGGCCACUGCACUCCAGCCUGGGUGACAGAGCGAGACUCCAUCUCAAAAACAAAAAAAGUGUGUAGUGUUUUCAUAUAACCUACACGCAUUUUCCUGUAUGCUUUAAAUAAUCUUCAAUUACCUAUAAUACUUAAUACACUGUAAAUGCUAUAUAAAUAGUUGUUAUACUCCAUUGUUUUCUAUAUGUAUUAUUUUACUGUUAUUUUUAUUUUUUUUUUUUCUGAAUAUUUUUGGUUUACAGUUUGUUGAAUCUUUGUGUAUCUGCCGGCUUACCACAUAGACAUCUUAUUGGUUCUGUUUCUCUAGAGAACCCUGACUAAUACACGUCCACCUUUGUCGAUUAAAAAAACAAGGUGUAUUCCUAUUACUGGAAACCUAUCAGGAAAAUGUAUUUAUGCAGCCUGAGACCCAUGGCACCAGCAGGAAUAUGAGACCUGAACUUUCCGUUCCCACUGUGGUUGGGCAAGUGAGAGGGAAGCCUUCCAGUACUCCCUGUGAUUUCGGGAAGAUCUUGAUUGUGAAGGGCUGUUUGUAGACCCCAUCAGAGGUGCCCAGACUGACUUGCCAUCUGAGGCCAGCUGCUGGGAUCUGACUCUUCCCAAGAACACAAAUCAAUAGUCAAUGCAGAAACCACACUCCAAAGAGAAACUGGUUCCAAGAGUGGCUAUUACUAUUUGCUUUCAAUUGAAUAUAUGUAUGUAGAUAGGUGCAAAGCCUCCCAUUUUGCCUUCAGGACCAUAGCAAAUACCUGCUUUCUGGAUGGACAAGGGAGACCCUUGUUAGCAAGAAUUGUGCUACAGUCUCCCAGCCUAACCACAAGGACACACGAGGACUAGAACAUUUGCUCUGCUUCUACUCAUCAUUGGCAAGAGUCUGAACACCUCUUUCUCAAACCAGCAGCAAGAGUUGCCCAGGCAGUGCACUCACUAACAUGCUCCCCUAAAUAUUCUUGAGUGAAAAGAAGAGAUAUGUUGCCAUGAAUGGGUCUUUCAGUUGGUAUUUGUAGGACUGCAAAGUUGCAAAGCUGGCAACAUGGUUAUGGCUUACACUGUUAAAUUUUGUGAUUUACUACUUGAUAUGGUAGCACAAAAUUAGAACUACAAAAAGAAUAAGGCUUGGUCACCUUACCUAUAAGAUCUAUUCAUGACAAUAAUUUUAUAGAGAAAAUUGCUCCUCUUUAGGCAAUGCCUCAUCUGACUUGAUGCUCUCUGCUGCAGAAGGUGAAAUUACAAUAAUUACAAACUUGAUCUUGGCUGUGACCUCUGAAUUGACCCUUUGAAGGAACCUGGAUUAUGUCUGAAUCUGUUAUCUCUGCAAGGAGAACAGCUGUCUUCAGAAUUGCUUUUGGGACCCCAUCAUGUCAUCGUGAAAUUGCAGUUAGUAAUCUUGCCAACAAUUUCCAGAUUUGGUGCAGAUAAGCUUAAACACAUUUGACUCCUUGGUUUCCAAUGUUAUUUAGAGAAUUGGAUGACUUAAAGCAUUUAUUUUUUUCAACUCAAUUCUUAUCAUAAUCCAUCAACAUCACAGUGUUUUUAUUCUCUAUUUCAUUUUUAUAUGAUCCUAUUAGUGGAGAGAAACACAAGUGACAUUUUUCUUUACUAUGGCCUUGUCUUCCUUUUUGCCUUUGCUAGAACUCAGGGAUCAUAUACAUUUUACUAAAUUAGAAUUCAACCAUAUCCUCUGACCAACAAUUUUCCUAACACUGAUCUUCUUCAUUGAGUUUUGUUAGGGAUGAAACGAAGGGAAUUCUUUCUGUUGCAUGCAAAUGAUAUUUACAAACUGUCCCUAAAUCACAGACCAGAAAUGCUUCUCUUAGAUGACUGAGGCUGAUAUUUUUGAAAUGUGCUGCACUCCAGGUACC
Molecule: long non-coding RNA, 2072 nt
Filed under: Macaca mulatta (Rhesus monkey)
Lineage: Eukaryota; Metazoa; Chordata; Mammalia; Primates; Cercopithecidae
Description: lncRNA (ENSMMUG00000059816.1)
Source: RNAcentral